This 450-nucleotide ribosomal RNA is filed under the name uncultured bacterium. Its description in RNAcentral is "partial 16S ribosomal RNA". It matches the Rfam family "Bacterial small subunit ribosomal RNA", at positions 354 to 796 of the family's 1533-position model. The record is from RNAcentral.
GUGGGGAAUAUUGGACAAUGGGCGAAAGCCUGAUCCAGCCAUGCCGCGUGUGUGAAGAAGGUCUUCGGAUUGUAAAGCACUUUAAGUUGGGAGGAAGGGCAGUAAGUUAAUACCUUGCUGUUUUGACGUUACCGACAGAAUAAGCACCGGCUAACAUCGUGCCAGCAGCCGCGGUAAUACGAAGGGUGCAAGCGUUAAUCGGAAUUACUGGGCGUAAAGCGCGCGUAGGUGGUUUUGUAAGUUGGAGGUGAAAUCCCCGGGCUCAACCUGGGAACUGCCUCCAAAACUGCAUGACUAGAGUACGGUAGAGGGUAGUGGAAUUUCCUGUGUAGCGGUGAAAUGCGUAGAUAUAGGAAGGAACACCAGUGGCGAAGGCGACUACCUGGACUGAUACUGACACUGAGGUGCGAAAGCGUGGGGUGCAAACAGGAUUAGAAACCCGUGUAGUCC